AAGUCGUAACAAGGUCUCCGUAGGUGAACCUGCGGAGGGAUCAUUACCAGAAGCCGCGUCGGCGGAAACGCCGGCGCCUUCGCCCAACCCUUUGUGAACCGUACUUGAAUGCCCCGGGGGACCCCGCCGUCACACGCGCGGCCCCCGGCGGCCCUCUUCAACUCUUGUUGUCUCUGUCGUCUGAGUCUUAAAGAAUUUAAACAAAACUUUCAACAACGGAUCUCUUGGUUCUG
This 233-nucleotide unclassified non-coding RNA is filed under the name air metagenome. Its description in RNAcentral is "partial contains small subunit ribosomal RNA, internal transcribed spacer 1, and 5.8S ribosomal RNA". The stretch from base 1 to 46 matches the Rfam family "Eukaryotic small subunit ribosomal RNA", at positions 1786 to 1831 of the family's 1831-position model. The record is from RNAcentral.